UUUUUUGAGAGUUAAUGAAUUCCUUAAUUGUGUUCUCAAUAUCAUAGGGUAUCGUAUUAGAAUUUGUAGAAGAAUUUCCGUAAGUAUUACCAUAAGAAUUUCCAUAGUUGUUGGAAGAAUUACUGGGAUACGACAUAGGAUUGAAAUUACCUCUAUAAGCAUUGUUGUUAAAAUUAUUUCGAGAGAAAAAGUUAACAUCAAUAGCAUCAUCAUUUUAUUAAAUAAAGGUAGGCAAAGGAAUAUCAUUGGGAUCAACAUGAGCAUUUUUAUUGGCAACCAAGUUCAUAAGAGCAUCAAAUUUUUCACUCAAAGUAGCGAUUUCCUCAACAAAAUAUACCUUCUUACCUCUUGGAGCUCGUUCGGUAUGCCUUUGAGAAUAGUUGACCAUGAUGUUAUCCAGAAUUUUAGUAGCCUCAUUGGCCUCGUCCUCGUUGACCUACAACCCAU
RNAcentral lists this long non-coding RNA (447 nucleotides) under Hordeum vulgare. RNAcentral describes it as "long non-coding RNA (HVUL_LNC010919)". The record is from RNAcentral. Lineage: Eukaryota; Viridiplantae; Streptophyta; Magnoliopsida; Poales; Poaceae.